AACCUCAGACGCACGCGCAGUUUGGUUUCUAUGCAGAGCAUGCGCAGUGUCACAUUGGUCAGGACAGUCGGGGGGAGAGAGAGGCGUGGAGCAGCUUUUUCCGGCAUCGACUGCGAUCGGCUUCAGAGAGCGGCGCUCAGAGCCGGUGUGUGGGAGCCUUGCUGGGUGAAAUGAACGGAGAGACUUCAUGGCGGGAUUCAAAUCUGCCUCCCCUGAACAUUAGCUGAGGUUCUCUCGAGCAAUACCAUGACGGCAUAACUUCACCGCUCAAAGGUUGCUCAUCCCUGAGCACUGAUACCAGGGCUUCAUGAAGGUACUCACGAAGGUCCUGACUCAAUAGACUUCCCAACUG
This is a non-coding RNA of Chiloscyllium plagiosum (whitespotted bambooshark), 352 nucleotides long. Lineage: Eukaryota; Metazoa; Chordata; Chondrichthyes; Orectolobiformes; Hemiscylliidae. The record is from RefSeq and is a predicted model, not a curated record.